RNAcentral lists this ribosomal RNA (253 nucleotides) under uncultured prokaryote. RNAcentral's name for it is "partial 16S ribosomal RNA". It matches the Rfam family "Bacterial small subunit ribosomal RNA", at positions 524 to 776 of the family's 1533-position model. The record is from RNAcentral.
UACAGAGGUCCCAAGCGUUGUUCGGAUUCACUGGGCGUAAAGGGUGCGUAGGCGGCCUAAUAAGUCAGUGGUGAAAGCCUCCAGCUUAACUGGAGAACUGCCAUUGAUACUGUUAGGCUUGAGUAUACUUGAGGUAGGCGGAAUUAACAGUGUAGCGGUGAAAUGCAUAGAUAUUGUCAAGAACACCAAUUGCGAAGGCAGCUUACUAAAUUAUAACUGACGCUGAGGCACGAAAGUGUGGGUAUCAAACAGG